CGCUUAUGUAUCAAACAGAGGCAAAACAAAAAUGGCGUCGAAAUAGGGCAGCGUCAUUUCGGUUCACUCGAUAUUUAGUCCUUGGCCUCGGGCCAACGAUAGUUACUAACGACUAACGACAUGGACACUUUUGUUGAAUAUAAUUAUUCACUGUGGAAGGGUAACAGAUUGCUGAUUUAAGUGUUGGCCGUCUGUGUCAUUGUGUGUUUAUGUAAGUUAAAUAUUUUAUAAUUUUAUUUCAGUGAAAGUCCAUCCUAGGGGAUGCUUUGUUCGAGCCAAAUGCUGCAGAUCUUUUGAAAUGAAGAGUGCAGUUUGGAAUGUACAUAUAUCCAUGCUGAAUUCCAAGGAGAUCGAGUCACAGUCAUGUGAAUGCAGUGCUGAAAUGGUUCAUGCGCCCAUGUUGCAGCCUUAGUGUACCAGGUGGCCUACUACAAUACGCUUCACAAGGCAACUGUGCCGGAAAUGGUGUCGAAAAUAUCUUGCCCGCAGUCUUUUCACAUUCCAUCAAAAGUUGACGGCAUCAAACCAAGACCUGUCAAUGAGGUCUCAUUUGUCAAGCCAAACCCUAAGAAGUCACUUCAUGAACAAUCAGAGUCCUGUAUUUGCAGCACUCUAUAUAAUCCUGUGAACAUCCCCUACCCUGACAUUUCAUUUUUGGAUGGCAUACAGACAUUGUUACCACUAUGUGAUGACACUCUACAGAUUUUCAAGAUUUUGCCACAAACAAGUCAUCGUCCACCAGUGAAAACAAAUACAUAUGGGACUGUGAAUAGUGGCAGUACAUUGGAACAUCAGUUACCGGAGCCGAAAGCAGAUGGCAGCAAUUUUCGGAUACCUGUUGGGUCAGAGUUUCCUAAGCUUUCCGUACAUGAUCGUUAUGUAUAACCAGUCUAUGCAACAUUAUUGUCUGAGAAUGAAUCUCUGUUUAUGGAUAGUUUGCAGGUAUCAGAGAGUGAAUCGUUGAGAUUGAGCAACAGACACGAUCACAAAGUCUCAAUCCACUCUGGAUCAGACUACGACAAAAGCGCUUGACUGCUUCAAUCUUUAAGGAUGUAGUUAGUCGACAGAAGGACUUUGAAUAACUCAUGGAACGUCUAACAGACGGCUGCCAUGAAACAUGUACUGGAACAUGAAUGCGAGGCAGCUCUUGAAUACUCGACCCAUAAACAAGUGAAUGAAAGACCAUGUGGCUUCGUUAUAAAUCCAGCAGCUCCAUUCAUCGGUGCGUCUCAUGACAGAAUUGUGUAUGACUUUUCAGAGUCUGACCCUUUCGGCUUCUUGCAGAUAAAGUGCCCGUUAAAGGAGUCGUACAAGGAAGCACCAUGUCUGAACGGAAACUCUGAUGGGACAUUAGUCUUCGGAAAAGUCACUCCUACUUUAUGCAGGUCAUGGGACAAAUGGCAGUUACUGGACUACCAUGGUGUGACUUGUGUGUCUGGACAGAAAACGACAUGCAUAUCGAAAGAAUUUAUUUUAAUGACAAAAUGUGGUCCGAUAUGUUUUCCAAACUAUUAAUAUUUUACCAUGAGCAUCUGAUAGAGAAAUUUGUUUAGAGCAACAUGAGCACUAUUCUCUCAUAAAUAUACUGAAUGAGGUCGCGGUGCUGUAAUAGCUGUGCUAUUCGCCUAGCAAUCAAGAGGUCGCGUGUUUUAUCACUAAUCUCAGAAUGUUUUCAUGAUCUGAUCCACUAAGUACUGGUUCUUCCCAGGAAAGUAGCUUUCAAUGCAAUAAAGUACUGGUUCCUCCCAGGAAAGGAGCUUUCAAUGCAAUACAUUUCAAAUGAAUAAGUUUAAAUUAGCAUAUAUACUGAUAUAAUCAUCUUUUGAUAAUGUUAAUAAACAAAGAUAUCCUUUUCAUGUUUGUUGAAGUAUGAUUGCAGUUUAAUGACAUGUAUGAUGCAUAUAUUAUUCUUUAGAGGUGAAAACCUUAAGGUUUAUUGCUUAAUCAACUAAUCAACAAACUAGUGUUGUAUUACUUACGAACAAACAGGGAAAUAAAUAACAAUUACUGUU
This is a long non-coding RNA of Dreissena polymorpha, 2012 nucleotides long. RefSeq lists it as uncharacterized. The record is from RefSeq and is a predicted model, not a curated record. NCBI's taxonomy places the organism in Eukaryota, Metazoa, Mollusca, Bivalvia, Myida, Dreissenidae. The transcript is spliced from 2 exons.